CACAAUUAGGGAUAUGGGUUCUGGAGAAAUUGACGUAUUAGAGAGUGGGUUAUUAUUGCCAGAUUCAAGAACUGAAGAUGAAGAUGAUGAGAGAGUAGUUUUAUAUUCAGCUUCAUUUGCAGAAAUGGAGGAAAUUUAUGUGAAAUAUCAAACGAUUCAAUGGGUUUUAUAUUCUUUACUUUUAGUAUUAGCAUGGGGGAUUGGAUUGUUCAUGUUGAUUUAUAUACCAAUUAGAAGAUAUAUUCUUUAGAGCUGAAUUUCGUUCUAGAAUGCUUUAUAUUACACCUAAUUCCAUUGUUUAUAAGGUUGUAAAGCCAGUUGCUUUCCCAUGUUUUGGAGUGUUGAAGAAAGAAAAACACAUUUUGCUUCCUUCAAUUGUUGACAUUGUCAUUGAACAAGGUAAUGUGAUGAUACUACCUUGGUCCCAUAAAAAAUGAUACUUUUGCAGGCCAAAUUGAAAAAUGUGAAAGUAUCACUUUUUCUGGGACGGAGGGAUGACUUUAGGCCUGAGCGCUUAACUGUGGUGUUCUUUCUGCAGUUGUUUAUGUUGUUUGCGUUACAGAUAUUUGUUGUAAUGAGACAUUGUUGUUCUUGUUGCUGUGUAUUCAAUUAGAAUUGAGAAUGUAGGUGUAAGGAGGUCGUGAGUGAUGAUGUUCAUAUCCAUGGGGUUGCGAACCCAAGGGAGUUUAGAAAGGUUGUUUUAACACAUCUUGCAAACUUAAAGAGAGCGACUGUGUUGACGUCCCAUGGGUCACCAUCAAGAACUCCCAGGACUGGGAAUGUUCCUUCGUCAGGAGAACUUAUAUUGCAGAAACUGGAGGAGGUUGGAAGCUCUGUAAAGAGGGUUGAAAAUAUAAUUGAGGAGCAAAAGCAUCCCAAAUCGCAACCUGUAAAAUGAAGACACUGGAAUUUACAAUUAUUCGACCAUUAUAUGUAAAAUCGUUUAUCAAGGUGUAAAUAAAGCUUGCAUCAUGGGGUUCUGAGUCGGGUCCUAGAGUUUACAGUGCUGCUGGAGCUAGUCGUACCCCCUUCUGUGAGGGUUCCUAGUAAUUUUCCUGGUUGAACUUGUUUGUUGUUUUACAUUAUUUGCUACCGGGGUUAACAUCUAAAUACAGCUUAUUCCUGUAUCUUGAUGUUUCUCUGGGUUGUGGUAUGUUGUAGUACUUCUUAUCAAUAAUAUAAAUUUCCAGGAUAUGUUUGAUUA
This is an RNA transcript of Papaver somniferum (opium poppy), 1204 nucleotides long. RefSeq lists it as uncharacterized. The transcript has 5 exons. The record is from RefSeq and is a predicted model, not a curated record. NCBI's taxonomy places the organism in Eukaryota, Viridiplantae, Streptophyta, Magnoliopsida, Ranunculales, Papaveraceae.